GACGAGGUGCACAAACGUUAUUCGGAUUUACUGGGCUUAAAGCGUGCGUAGGCGGCCUGGCAAGUUGGGUGUGAAAUCCCUCGGCUCAACCGAGGAAUUGCGCCCAAAACUGCUAGGCUGGAGUGAGACAGAGGUGAGCGGAACUGAUGGUGGAGCGGUGAAAUGCGUUGAUAUCAUCAGGAACACCGGUGGCGAAGGCGGCUCACUGGGUCUCUACUGACGCUGAGGCACGAAAGCUAGGGGAGCAAACGGG
Molecule: ribosomal RNA, 253 nt
Filed under: uncultured bacterium
Lineage: Bacteria
Description: partial 16S ribosomal RNA
Rfam family: Bacterial small subunit ribosomal RNA
Source: RNAcentral